GACGAACGCUGGCGGCGUGCUUAACACAUGCAAGUCGAACGGAAAGGCCCCCUUGUGGGGUACUCGAGUGGCGAACGGGUGAGUAACACGUGAGUAACCUACCCUUGACUUUGGGAUAACUUCAGGAAACUGGGGCUAAUACCGGAUAGGAGCUCCUGCUGCAUGGUGGGGGUUGGAAAGUUUCGGCGGUUGGGGAUGGACUCGCGGCUUAUCAGCUUGUUGGUGGGGUAGUGGCUCACCAAGGCUUUGACGGGUAGCCGGCCUGAGAGGGUGACCGGCCACAUUGGGACUGAGAUACGGCCCAGACUCCUACGGGAGGCAGCAGUGAGGAAUAUUGCACAAUGGGCGGAAGCCUGAUGCAGCAACGCCGCGUGCGGGAUGACGGCCUUCGGGUUGUAAACCGCUUUCGCCUGUGACGAAGCGUGAGUGACGGUAAUGGGUAAAGAAGCACCGGCUAACUACGUG
RNAcentral lists this ribosomal RNA (465 nucleotides) under uncultured bacterium. RNAcentral describes it as "partial 16S ribosomal RNA". It matches the Rfam family "Bacterial small subunit ribosomal RNA", at positions 28 to 507 of the family's 1533-position model. The record is from RNAcentral.